CCUACGGGAGGCAGCAGUGGGGAAUAUUGGACAAUGGGCGAAAGCCUGAUCCAGCAAUGCCGCGUGAGUGAUGAAGGCCUUCGGGUCGUAAAGCUCUUUUACCAGGGAUGAUAAUGACAGUACCUGGAGAAUAAGCUCCGGCUAACUCCGUGCCAGCAGCCGCGGUAAUACGGAGGGAGCUAGCGUUGUUCGGAAUUACUGGGCGUAAAGAGUACGUAGGCGGUUAUUCAAGUCAGAGGUGAAAGCCCGGGGCUCAACCCCGGAACUGCCUUUGAAACUAGAUAACUAGAGUCUUGGAGAGGUUAGUGGAAUUCCGAGUGUAGAGGUGAAAUUCGUAGAUAUUCGGAAGAACACCAGUGGCGAAGGCGACUAACUGGACAAGUACUGACGCUGAGGUACGAAAGCGUGGGGAGCAAACAGGAUUAGAUACCCUGGUAAUCCACGCCGUAAACGAUGAUAACUAGUUGUUCGGUCACUUGGUGACUGAGUGACGCAGCUAACGCAUUAAGUUAUCCGCCUGGGGAGUACGGUCGCAAGAUUAAAACUCAAAGGAAUUGACGG
RNAcentral lists this ribosomal RNA (561 nucleotides) under uncultured bacterium. RNAcentral's name for it is "bacterial SSU rRNA". It matches the Rfam family "Bacterial small subunit ribosomal RNA", at positions 338 to 916 of the family's 1533-position model. The record is from RNAcentral.